UAAGGAAUAUUGCGCAAUGGGCGACAGCCUGACGCAGCGACGCCGCGUGGGGGAUGAAGGUCUUCGGAUUGUAAACCCCUUUCGGCAGGGAAGAUGGAACGGGUAACCGUUCGGACGGUACCUGCAGAAGCAGCCACGGCUAACUUCGUGCCAGCAGCCGCGGUAAUACGAAGGUGGCAAGCGUUGUUCGGAUUUACUGGGCGUACAGGGAGCGUAGGCGGUUGGGUAAGCCCUCCGUGAAAUCUCCGGGCCUAACCCGGAAAGUGCGGAGGGGACUGCUCGGCUAGAGGAUGGGAGAGGAGCGCGGAAUUCCCGGUGUAGCGGUGAAAUGCGUAGAGAUCGGGAGGAAGGCCGGUGGCGAAGGCGGCGCUCUGGAACAUUUCUGACGCUGAGGCUCGAAAGCGUGGGGAGCAAACAGGAUUAGAUACCCCAGGUCCCUGAGCGGGCUGGCAAGGCGCAU
Molecule: ribosomal RNA, 460 nt
Filed under: uncultured bacterium
Lineage: Bacteria
Description: bacterial SSU rRNA
Rfam family: Bacterial small subunit ribosomal RNA
Source: RNAcentral